RNAcentral lists this unclassified non-coding RNA (353 nucleotides) under soil metagenome. Its description in RNAcentral is "partial contains 5.8S ribosomal RNA, internal transcribed spacer 2, and large subunit ribosomal RNA". The stretch from base 1 to 120 matches the Rfam family "5.8S ribosomal RNA", at positions 35 to 154 of the family's 154-position model. The record is from RNAcentral.
GAUGAAGAACGUAGCGAAAUGCGAUAAGUAGUGUGAAUUGCAGAAUUCAGUGAAUCAUCGAAUCUUUGAACGCACAUUGCGCCUCCUGGUAUUCCGGGAGGCAUGCCUGUUCGAGCGUCAUUAAAAUCACUCAAGCUUAGGUUUACCUAUUGCUUGGUCUUGGAGAUGGAAGCCAAUUUAUUGGAAUCCUCUUCGAAAUUCAAUGGCGAAGACCCUUGCUCUCCCAAGUGUAGUAAUAACUUAUGUCACUGAAGGAAGCGAGAAAUCUUCUGCCGUAACCCCCAUAUUUUCUAUGAUUGACCUCGGAUCAGGUAGGGAUACCCGCUGAACUUAAGCAUUCAAUAAGCGGAGGA